RNAcentral lists this long non-coding RNA (2434 nucleotides) under Nicotiana tabacum (common tobacco). RNAcentral's name for it is "long non-coding RNA (NTAB_LNC004150)". Lineage: Eukaryota; Viridiplantae; Streptophyta; Magnoliopsida; Solanales; Solanaceae. The record is from RNAcentral.
GCGGACCACACUGAUUAGGUGUGCGGCUGCAUGGGCUUUUGCCCUGAAUGACCGAGUUUCUGACACUCUUGGGCGCGGACCACGUGGAAAGGAGUGCGGACCGCGCAUCUUGACUUGAAAAUUGCAUGGUCUCUGAACUAUCCAGCGCGGCCGUGUGGCAAAGCAGUGCAGACCGCGCAGGUUGACCUAGAAAUUGCCCAGCCUCUGAACUCUCCUGUGCGGCCGCGUGAUAAAUCAGUACGGACCGCACAUGUCAUUUUGUUCCCUACUUCAGUUGUCUUUUGACACUUGGCAGAUUUCACUCCUUUUUGAGCCGAUCUUUGGUAUUUGUCAUCUUGUCACUCAAACCUGCAAUCAAGCGCAACUUGUAAGCAUUUUGGGACUAAUUUAUGGAGUUAAUGCACAAAGUUUGGGUAAGAAUGGGUAUAAAACAUGUAGAAAUCACAGUUAUCACGGUCCUUAAGCCGCUUUUGCGAUCGCGCUUCUACGCGCUUCAACCACAUCUGCGGCAGGUGCGUCCAAGCACCCGCACCUACGAUCCUCACUCCCAGCUCCUUUUCUCGCUUUUGCGAUGACACUACCACUUUUGCAGCUCCUCACCUGCACCCAACGCUCCGCAGGUGCGGUUAUACCAGAACCAAAAAAUCUUCAGCAAUGCAACAUGGAAUAAAAAUGAUCCGAACCUCGUUCAAAACUCACCCGAGCUACUCGGUGUCACACCUCCUUUUUCCUACCCUUGGAAGGGUAUAAGGGAGUUUUUUCAAAUUUAAGUGACAAUCAAAACGGGAUUUAUUAAAAGAUUCAGAGUCGCCACUUGGGAAAUUCAUGGCAUCCCAAGUCACCGGUUCAAAUCCCGAAUCGAGGAAAAGAUUGACACUGUAUUACAAUCUGCGAACACAGAAAUCCAGGUAAGGAAUUCUGUUAACCCGGGAGAAGGUAUUAGGCAUUCCCGGAUUUUGUGGUUCUAGCACGGUCGCUCAACUAUUAUUAUUGGCCUAAUUAUCUGAUUUAAUUAUACGUUUAAAACCUAUUGUGCAUUUUUAGCUUUAGAACCACUUUUAAUUAAGUUAAAUCGCUUUUCAGGAAGAUUCAACGUCAUUUAAAACACGCCUUGAACCACGCCACAUGAAAGUCUAUAACAUAUUUUAUUUAACGUUAUUGGGAAUUGGAGUUGGGUCACAUGAAAUGCACACCCGAGUUUAGGAAGGUAACUUUUUAAAAUAACGCGCCUAAAACAACUACGCACUUUCAAGUUUGCGAGGGCCAUGGAAAUUCAACUAGGUGGCACACCUCGAUUCUAAUUUCAAGGGAUUGUACUCAACUAAAUCAAGGCCGAGAGUUUAUGGAAUAUAAUAGGAGAUAACACUAAGUUUUAUCAAAGUGAUGUACUAGAAUACUGAUAACGUAAUAAAGAACAAUGUAGCUUCGAGUUCAAAUAUUUAGGAAUAGUAAAGCAGCAGGAAGAAAUCAAAGUAGUUAUUCAAUGUAUACUAGUAGUAGUGUAGGUGACAAAAAUAAAGAAAUUUAACAGUGAUCCUAAGGUUACAAGAGCUUGAGUUCGUCAACAAAACCAACUAUUAAAUACAAAUUGGUCACUAACCUUAACAAAAACAGAAAACACACACUGUCAGUUAGAGCAAAUUGGAAAAUAUUAGAGCUAAUAAAUUUACCUGCCGGUCUUGGUCUGAAUUGGCCUAGCAGUAUUAUCAAAUCAAAGCAACAACAGAAACUAAUACAUAAUCUUAACUCACACAUAUUACAUUCAGGCGAUUUCAACCAACUUUAAUUUAUUAAACAACCUAAAUAAAUCUAUCCAAGCAAACAGAAAUUGAAAUUUAGUUUUUGCCUUCAAAAUUCAUCAAGUGAAAUACACCAGGACACUUCCAAUUUCAAUACAAUCAUGUCGUGCUAUUAUACUUAACAUGCUCUGAAGUUACAAAGAAGGUCGUAGGUAAAAUAUCUGGAAUAAUGAAAGAGAACCGAAAUUUUGACCAAAUAAAGAUCAGAAAACUGUAAAUGGAGCUCAGUUAUUAACAAACAAACAUCAAUACAACCUCAACCUUGAGCGAAACCCAUUUUGAAAACCCAGAAAUAUGAAUGAGAGAACUUGCCAUUUGAUGGGAAACAACACUGCUUCUUUUAUGUAAAUUUUGAGCAAGGAUCGACAUAAAAAUGAUUUGUAUUCUAUAUGUUCUUUUCAGGUUUGAGACUGCAGAUUUACCAAUUCAAUGAGGGUCUUCUUUUCUCAAUUUUUCCUUUAGUAGGUGCGGUAGCUUCAUGGGUGUAGGAAAGGGUCUGUUCUUUGAGAGAAUUGGGGGUGAUGGCUCCUAAAAGUUUUCUGGUUUCUUAAGAAGACGAGAGCGCCAUUUUUGUUGUCAAGAGGCCUCAAUAUGGAAAAAUCUGAUCUCUCUUUAGUGUGUUAGGUCUCCUUUUA